RNAcentral lists this ribosomal RNA (618 nucleotides) under uncultured bacterium. RNAcentral describes it as "bacterial SSU rRNA". It matches the Rfam family "Bacterial small subunit ribosomal RNA", at positions 1 to 614 of the family's 1533-position model. The record is from RNAcentral.
UAGAGUUUGAUCAUGGCUCAGAUUGAACGCUGGCGGCAGGCCUAACACAUGCAAGUCGAGCGGUAACAGAAAGUAGCUUGCUGCUUUGCUGACGAGCGGCGGACGGGUGAGUAAUGCCUGGGAAUAUGCCUUGAUGUGGGGGAUAACCAUUGGAAACGAUGGCUAAUACCGCAUAAUGUCUUCGGACCAAAGAGGGGGACCUUCGGGCCUCUCGCGUCAAGAUUAGCCCAGGUGGGAUUAGCUAGUAGGUGAGGUAAUGGCUCACCUAGGCGACGAUCUCUAGCUGGUCUGAGAGGAUGAUCAGCCACACUGGAACUGAGACACGGUCCAGACUCCUACGGGAGGCAGCAGUGGGGAAUAUUGCACAAUGGGCGCAAGCCUGAUGCAGCCAUGCCGCGUGUGUGAAGAAGGCCUUCGGGUUGUAAAGCACUUUCAGUCGUGAGGAAGGCAGUUGCGUUAAUAGCGUAAUUGUUUGACGUUAGCGACAGAAGAAGCACCGGCUAACUCCGUGCCAGCAGCCGCGGUAAUACGGAGGGUGCGAGCGUUAAUCGGAAUUACUGGGCGUAAAGCGCAUGCAGGUGGUUAGUUAAGUCAAAUGUGAAAGCCCGGGGCUCAACC